Molecule: ribosomal RNA, 258 nt
Filed under: uncultured bacterium
Lineage: Bacteria
Description: partial 16S ribosomal RNA
Rfam family: Bacterial small subunit ribosomal RNA
Source: RNAcentral
AAGAAGCGAGGCUGUGAAGCGGAGCAAAUCUCAAAAACCGGUCCCAGUUCGGAUUGUAGGCUGCAACUCGCCUACAUGAAGUCGGAGUUGCUAGUAAUCGCGGAUCAGAAUGCCGCGGUGAAUGCGUUCCCGGGUCUUGUACACACCGCCCGUCACACCAUGAGAGUCUGUAACACCCAAAGCCGGUGGGAUAACCUUUAUAGGAGUCAGCCGUCUAAGGUAGGACAGAUGAUUAGGGUGAAGUCGUAACAAGGUAAC